AAGAGCUGCUUCGAUUUGCUUUGCAUCUGCUCAGCUGUCUUAGAUGUUUCAAUGCAAAAAGUUAUUCUCAGCCAUCGUAUUUCUUCUGUACUCAGGAUGCUGGAGAAGCUGAAAGACAACUAGAGCCCUGGAAACUCAGAUUAAGAUGAUUGCUGCCAACAAAUACAUCAACAGUGACAGCUGGGAGCUCUCCAGUGUACUAUACCAAUUUACAGGGUGGCAGGCAUUCAGACUCAAUUCUCCAAAAAAUACUCUAUUGCAAGACUGUUGAUAAGUACAGAGAAGAAUAUG
This is a long non-coding RNA of Numida meleagris (helmeted guineafowl), 291 nucleotides long. RefSeq lists it as uncharacterized. The transcript is spliced from 3 exons. NCBI's taxonomy places the organism in Eukaryota, Metazoa, Chordata, Aves, Galliformes, Numididae. The record is from RefSeq and is a predicted model, not a curated record.